This 374-nucleotide ribosomal RNA is filed under the name uncultured organism. RNAcentral's name for it is "partial 16S ribosomal RNA". It matches the Rfam family "Bacterial small subunit ribosomal RNA", at positions 527 to 896 of the family's 1533-position model. The record is from RNAcentral.
GUAGGUGGCAAGCGUUGUCCGGAAUUAUUGGGCGUAAAGCGCGCGCAGGCGGUUCUUUAAGUCUGAUGUGAAAGCCCACGGCUCAACCGUGGAGGGUCAUUGGAAACUGGAGAACUUGAGUACAGAAGAGGAAAGCGGAAUUCCACGUGUAGCGGUGAAAUGCGUAGAGAUGUGGAGGAACACCAGUGGCGAAGGCGGCUUUCUGGUCUGUAACUGACGCUGAGGCGCGAAAGCGUGGGGAGCAAACAGGAUUAGAUACCCUGGUAGUCCACGCCGUAAACGAUGAGUGCUAAGUGUUAGGGGGGUUUCCGCCCCCCUUAGUGCUGCAACUAACGCAUUAAGCACUCCGCCUGGGGAGUACGGCCGCAAGGCUG